CGGAUGCUCCUAGUGCUCACCGAGGGCUCCAAGCACUCCACCAGUCACCAUAACCACUGUAGAUUCCCACGAACCACCGCAGCUUGGUUGGGGUCUCACCAUCUUCCACCCACUCUGGACCCAAGACCAAGGUUCAGCUUCCAGUGGGUAGACCUCUCUUCAAUCCAGAGAACAGGAACAAGCUCUUACAAGAGCUUACUCUGGAGAGUAUAGGGAUUAUGGCAAUCCCCAGAGUGUAGGUAGUUCACCAAUCACCCAAACAUGAGCCAAGACUUCAUGAUGGGUAGAACAGGUUUUGUUUAAUGUAAGCCAGCAUUCCCAAUUUAUACAAUUCCUCAUGCCAGAGGCACACCCCCUGGACCUGAUGGUACACAUGCACACAAAGGACAUAAACCAAUCAAAUAUUAACACAAUGUAAAACCCUCCCACAGUAACAGUAAAAUCCCUCCCCUCUAUCCUGGAGAUAAUUAGCUUAAGUGGCUGUAGUAAACUUAUCUCCAGGUACAGAAAAUCUCUCUAAGUAAAAACUGUAACAAAAACACAUUAAAAUACAUAACCUAUUUCACCGAACGCAACCCCCACAUUCGACCUAUCUCCAGAUAGCUUGGAUCUGAGUGCUCAAUAUAUCCGAAUAGCGCUCAGAUCCCAUGAACACCGUCAAAUCUCCAUGGGGUUCAAGUGUCUAUGGAAGUCUCUUUUGACCGACCGCACGCAUGAUUUCAUGCCCAAAACAGUUCCAGAGAAUUUGGCUGUGCGGCCGGUCUAUUUCCAAUGUUUAAGUCAGUUCAAAUAGAUGAACGUCCACUGUUUGUGCAAACCGUCAAUGUAAGUGCCGUUCGAAGUGUCGAACAGCGUUCGACUCCAGUUGAAGUUCCAGAGAAGGUAAAGUUUAGCGUGUUCGUGCCGUCGCGUGUCCGAUUUGAGUUCCAUGAACUCGAUGACCAAACACAGCUGAACGUGUUUGACUGAAUUAAAAUGGCUGCCACCAUAUGUUCCUUCAUACGAAUGCCACCACCCAGCUGUUCGCCACUUUAGCAGCGGUUAACCACAGCUUCUGGGGGGUUAACAAGCCGCACACUCCACAGGGUGGGCGGUCGUUCGUCAAUUUGUUCGUCCGUUUGCACAAUAUCAUCCUGGCCAUAAUUGAAGUUAGAACUGCAAUAUAAUUAGUUUAGAUUAGUACAGUUCCUGAUUCAAUUAUCUCCCAAUCCCAGAGUAGGAAUUCUAUUGUUUGUGUAUGGGAAUGUCUCACUGUAUGACUGUUUUUAUUGGGUUGUUCACUUUGUGUCCCUGUGCCCAACAAGGUUCACCUGGGUGUCGCACUUGUUGGGAAACUUGCAUAAAAGGCCAGUGUGGCUCCAUUAAAAUGCUAUUCCAGCUUACACUCCAAAACUGUGUCAUUCUGUUAUUGGAGGGAAAGAAGAUUUACUUCUGUGUCUGCUGUUCCAGCAUGCAGGGGAUUCAACGGCG
Molecule: non-coding RNA, 1470 nt
Organism: Pelobates cultripes (western spadefoot toad)
Lineage: Eukaryota; Metazoa; Chordata; Amphibia; Anura; Pelobatidae
Source: the annotation of a GenBank genome assembly